Molecule: long non-coding RNA, 300 nt
Filed under: Elaeis guineensis (African oil palm)
Lineage: Eukaryota; Viridiplantae; Streptophyta; Magnoliopsida; Arecales; Arecaceae
Description: long non-coding RNA (EGUI_LNC043760)
Source: RNAcentral
AAGUCGGGUCAAGGGUUGAACCCGAUUGAACAUCCCAACCCUAGCAUGUCUUAGAGACAUGUUUUAAAUAUAAAAUGCAUGAUGUAUGUAUAGAAUCUUUUUUAGUAGCUUAGUACUCUAAUUGAGAUUCAUCACUAGGCCAUCCGAUCAUAAGACCAAGUAGGAUUCAAAGAUUCUCUCUUCCUCUUCCAUAGGGUAUUCUUAUGGCGUGUAGGAGUGCCACUGUGAUGUCUCAAGAAGAAGAACCACGAAAAGAUUAUUUUGUAUUCAUUCAUGUUAUUAAAAUUUCAUGCAUAUAUG